Non-coding RNA from Ictidomys tridecemlineatus (thirteen-lined ground squirrel), 606 nucleotides. Lineage: Eukaryota; Metazoa; Chordata; Mammalia; Rodentia; Sciuridae. The record is from RefSeq and is a predicted model, not a curated record.
UCCCAGACCUCAUGUUAAGAUGGCUCUAGAGAAGCUUUACUAAAGUAUAAAUUAAGCUCAGAGGAAACAAAUGUUAGGUUCCAUAAACAAGUCAAGAUGGCGCCUGGCAUUUUUCCAGAGGGAGUGUUUUGUGAAGUAAUGCCUGGGAGUCCUUAAGGUGAUAGAGUUUCCCCAGCCAGACUGCGGCAAACAAGAGCUUCAGAAACAGACUCCUGCUUCUGGGGUUCUCCCCAACAAAAAUCGCUCUGUCUCUGGAUGUUGCAGAUUUAGGACCUCAGCAAACACCAAGAGAAGAGAUGAAAAGAGCCACUUUGAAUGAGCAUGAUAUGAGAAGGGAGAUCAAGUAUUGGUGCCUGAAGAUUCUUAUCUCUUCAAACUCAAACUCACAUCCUAAGUCCAGAGUCCUGCAGGGAAAUCAGGUGCUUGGAGGUUGCAGUAUAAAGAAGGACGUGUGACUAGUGAGAAGGUAGAGAAGCUGUAGGCUGUGAUUGCUCUUGCUCUCCCUGAGUGCACGUCCUUGGGACUUACUUCAUUCUUCAAGGUCUUCAAAUCUGACAUGAGGACCAAAGCUGGACCCAUUCCUCUUCUUUACUUUGGAGUCAGAGC